UGAGGGUGCCCGAAAGGGAACCUGGACACAGGUGCUGCAUGGCUGUCGUCAGCUCGUGUCGUGAGAUGUUGGGUUAAGUCCCGCAACGAGCGCAACCCUUGCCAUUAGUUGCCACAUUCAGUUGGGCACUCUAAUGGGACUGCCGGUGACAAACCGGAGGAAGGUGGGGAUGACGUCAAGUCCUCAUGGCCCUUAUGGGUAGGGCUUCACACGUAAUACAAUGGCCGGUACAGAGGGCAGCCAACCCGCGAGGGGGAGCUAAUCCCAGAAAGCCGGUCGUAGUCCGGAUUGCAGUCUGCAACUCGACUGCAUGAAGCCGGAAUCGCUAGUAAUCGCGGAUCAGCAUGUCGCGGUGAAUACGUUCCCGGGUCUUGUACACACCGCCCGUCACACCAUGGGAGUGGGUUUCACCAGAAGUAGUUAGCCUAACCGCAAGGAGGGCGACUACCACGGUGAGAUUCAUGACUGG
RNAcentral lists this ribosomal RNA (469 nucleotides) under uncultured beta proteobacterium. RNAcentral describes it as "bacterial SSU rRNA". It matches the Rfam family "Bacterial small subunit ribosomal RNA", at positions 1009 to 1478 of the family's 1533-position model. Lineage: Bacteria; Pseudomonadati; Pseudomonadota; Betaproteobacteria. The record is from RNAcentral.